GCACCCGUUGCUCAUAGAGCGUUGCCCUCCGAAGGCAAAGGUCACACGUUCGAGUCGUGUCGGGUGCGCCA
RNAcentral lists this transfer RNA (71 nucleotides) under Bradyrhizobium uaiense. RNAcentral describes it as "tRNA-Arg". It matches the Rfam family "tRNA". From Rfam's summary of the family: Transfer RNA (tRNA) molecules are approximately 80 nucleotides in length. Their secondary structure includes four short double-helical elements and three loops (D, anti-codon, and T loops). Further hydrogen bonds mediate the characteristic L-shaped molecular structure. tRNAs have two regions of fundamental functional importance: the anti-codon, which is responsible for specific mRNA codon recognition, and the 3' end, to which the tRNAs corresponding amino acid is attached (by aminoacyl-tRNA synthetases). tRNAs cope with the degeneracy of the genetic code in two manners: having more than one tRNA (with a specific anti-codon) for a particular amino acid; and 'wobble' base-pairing, i.e. permitting non-standard base-pairing at the 3rd anti-codon position. Lineage: Bacteria; Pseudomonadati; Pseudomonadota; Alphaproteobacteria; Hyphomicrobiales; Nitrobacteraceae. The record is from RNAcentral.